This 473-nucleotide ribosomal RNA is filed under the name uncultured bacterium. RNAcentral's name for it is "bacterial SSU rRNA". It matches the Rfam family "Bacterial small subunit ribosomal RNA", at positions 355 to 825 of the family's 1533-position model. The record is from RNAcentral.
UGGGGAAUAUUGCGCAAUGGGCGAAAGCCUGACGCAGCAACGCCGCGUGAGUGAUGAAGGCCUUCGGGUCGUAAAGCUCUGUCGGAGGGAACGAAUGCUCUUGAGGUUAACAGCCUCGGGAGGUGACGGUACCCUCAAAGGAAGCACCGGCUAACUCUGUGCCAGCAGCCGCGGUAAUACAGAGGGUGCAAGCGUUGUUCGGAAUCAUUGGGCGUAAAGGGCGUGUAGGCGGUAUGUUAAGUCAUGUGUGAAAUCCCUCGGCUCAACCGGGGAACGACGCAUGAAACUAGCAAGCUAGAGUACCAAAGAGGGUGGUGGAAUUCCCGGUGUAGCGGUGAAGUGCGUAGAUAUCGGGAGGAACACCUGUGGCGAAGGCGGCCACCUGGUUGGAUACUGACGCUGAGACGCGAAAGCGUGGGGAGCAAACAGGAUUAGAUACCCCGGUAGUCCCUGAGCGGGCUGGCAAGGCGCAU